CAAAACCUGGUUGAUCCUGCCAGUGGUCACACGCUUCGUUCAAGGGCUAAGCCAUGCAUGUCUCAGCGCAAACGGUCUCAACAGUGGGUCUGUGAAUGGCUCAUUACAACAGCAGUCAUCUCUGUGAUACAGUGUGGGUGGCACCAGCUCCAGGUGCCCAACUGGACAUCCACCAAAACCUAGUGGCUAAUACAC
This 195-nucleotide ribosomal RNA is filed under the name uncultured eukaryote. Its description in RNAcentral is "partial 18S ribosomal RNA". It matches the Rfam family "Eukaryotic small subunit ribosomal RNA", at positions 1 to 172 of the family's 1831-position model. The record is from RNAcentral.